GGUUCUCCAAUAUAUCGUCAGUUUUGUCAUCAAAGAGGCCGGAGCUGUUGAAGGGAAUCGCGAUGGCGAAGAGAAGCAGCUCAAAGAGGAGACCUCAUGCAGUGGCAGUACAAAAGAACUGAGAGACCACAAAGAAGAAUCCUAUUUAUCCUGAGGUUACAGCAUAUUCCCAAAAUAAAGCCUUAUGAUUGAUAACUUAAAUAAAUGCAACUGAACUGAAUCGCAAGUUGGACACACCAAAAAAAACAGACUAAGAAAUCUG
Molecule: non-coding RNA, 262 nt
Organism: Pogona vitticeps (central bearded dragon)
Lineage: Eukaryota; Metazoa; Chordata; Lepidosauria; Squamata; Agamidae
Source: RefSeq, a predicted model, not a curated record